AGAGUACAUGUCAGAUCGUUAAUUGUGAAUAUAGGUGUAAUAUAGUCAACUUGUUGUGAGAUAUAGCAGGCUUUGCUUGUAUCCAUUUUGGAAAACAAGUGGUGGACAUCCUCAAUGGGAUUUAGUCAUCUGAAUGUCUGUUUCUUGAGUCAUGGUACUUAAAAUUUGCAAUCAUUUGGUGGAAUACUGAAAUGCAUCUCUUACUGAAGAUCUUCAGUUGCCUAUGUAUUGGAGCCGUAGUCUGUUUUGCUCGAAGUAAACUAACUUGCUUUGUGUUCUUUUGGUACUUUGUACAGGCAAGGACAAGAUUAAGUGAUCUUUGCUUGCUGAUGAUUAUGGAAUUUCCAGACUGAUCCCAAACUGUGUAGUUGAAGUAUGUAAAGUGAGUAGAGUGACUGUCUUGUGACUGCUGAUUAAGAUAUUUGCUGCAUGAUCAGAUGUUUACAUCUGACUUACUAGGAUGAAUUGUUGAGGAGGUGUAUCUUCCUGAUCAGAUGGCCACAGCUAACUUAUUUGGUGGUUUAUCGAUUAUGCUGCUCUAGAUUAUCAGGCGUUAAAUCUUGUUCUAAUCUUUUGUCUACACGUAAUCACCCACAAACAAAACUUGAUAACAUGAGAAUGGCCAAGGUCUACAUUUGUUCAGCACCCAUCACUCAGGAUGUCGUUCCUGAUGUAUUACAGGGAGAAAUGACCAGCGUUUCUCAGUCAUCCAGAGUCGUCCAAAGCCCAGCAGUUGUUGGCAUUAUGCCUUAAACAAGGGGGAGAGGUCGAACCUCUUAAACAGAAACAAAACAUGGAGUUGCAGCCCCUAUAAUAUCUGCUCUAAGCAAUUCCCUGAGCUCAUGUGGCGGUUCUGUGAUGAUCUGCAUCCCAGGAUCCUUGUUGACACUGGUUUUGGCCAGCCAAUCUGCACAUUUAUUUCCUUCUCUCCAAAUGUGUUGUAGCCGGCACUCCCAAUCCCUGUUUCCAUAAUUCCUAAUCUGACAUAUCAGAUUGUGGAAAGGUGAAUCCUGUCCUGCUCCUUGGAUUAGGUCCAGUGCUGCCUUCGAAUCCGUUUCCAGGAUCACUCUCCUUUCUCCUGAGCUCCACGCCAUUUCCAUCCCUUUUGAGUACUCCCCAUCGCUCUACUGUCGUAUUGUCUGUUAGCCCAAUAUUCACUGCGAAGCCAGCUUUCCAUCUUUCCCAGCAUUAUGCCUUUCGUUGGCUUAGUCUCUAACCAAAUUCUCAUAUUCAUCUCCUAUUUUCCAACCAGCUCUGGGGACAAGGUUAUUGCGCUGAACUGAAUUCCCCAUGAGAAAGAAGUACCAGAUGAUUUCCGGUAAGUUCUCAAGUGUAUUUUGCAAAUGAGCUUCUUUAUCAAGACGCAAACAGCCUUGGUUGCCUGCCUAAACCGUCUCGCUGGAAUGAGAUCAUUACAUUUUUUUUCGGAUCACUGCAUACCUUGACUAAGGCUAAUCACUAGUUGUAAGUUGUAACUGCAUAAUCAUGAGUGUCGUGAAGAGGAUCGGCUUAAAGCAGCAAAAGAAGUGGGCCACAAUGAAAUGUUAAUUGGGUACUGCGCAGCAUUAAAAAUAUGAAAAAUCGUUCAACAUGUCAUUCACUUUUGAAAUGUUAAUCUUACACCUCUUGUAGAUUUAAAUUUGCAAAAUUUGGCCUCAACUUAAGUUUUCAACUAAUUUUUAAUAGGGUUAUUAUCACUUUAUCCCCUUAAACUAUAUCACUACUAUCAGUUUACCCCAUAACGUUAUUUUUUAAUCACUUUACCCCCAUAAGUAAUUCAACUCAACAUGUUAAGAAAUUUUGGACAAAAUACCCUUUUAUUUUAUAGUAUUACUACAUUGUUAUUAUCGCUUUCUUCGUUUGGAUUAUAGUGAUACAAUCGCUUUAGUUCCUAACACUAUUUUCUAGACAUUUUACCUUAUUAUUAAUCUAACUAGUAUGGUCAAAAAAUUUUAAAUAUAUUUACCCUUUUUAUAUAUAAUUAAAAAUAAAAAAGGUUGGAAUGAUUAUUCUUCCUUUUUUCACUUUAAGAGAUAGAAAAAUUCUUUUUUUUUCAUACUUAUUACUACUAGGAAAAGAAAAAGAGAUAGGAAAGAAGGAGACAAAAAAUUAGAUUUUGCAAAAAAAGAAAAUAAAGAAAAGUCUAACAUUAUCGUAUUACUUUAAGGUUAUCGGGAUUAGAAUUGAAAUUUGGUGGUAAACAAAAAAGUGAAAUAAUUUUAAAAUAAUAAAAGUAUUUAAUUCUUUCUUAUUUGUAAUUUUUAAAAAAAGAAUUGAGCUCUCUCUCUCCCCCUCCCCCUCUCCAUAUUUCUAUUUUUUUUCAAUAUUAAUAAGAUUGCCAAUGAAAAAAAUUAAUAUUUUGACUUUUUUUCUUGAUACUAAAAAGAAGAAGAGUCACUCUAAAUUUUUUAUUAUUUUGAUUAUGCAAAGAGAGGGUAUUUUCUUCUAAAGUUUUUAAUUUGCUAAGUUGGUUUAAUGGUAGGAUAAAUUGUCUAAAAAAUAAUUCUAGGGUGUAAAUUGAUAAUGAGACUAUAUUUUAUGGGGGUAAAGUGAUAAUAAUUUUAAGGGUUAAACAUGUCUUUUCACUUUAAUUAAUAAACUCCAUUAAGUUUGACCAUUAGUUUUGGGGAUAAAAUGACUAAAAGAUAACGUUAAGGGGGAAAUUGAUAGUAGUACCAAACGUUAAGGAGGUAAAGUGAUAAUAACCCUUUUUAAUAUGAAAUCGCCACACAAUCAACAUGUAGUCAUUUUCUUUUAUGUAUAAAUAGGUCAAAUUCAACUUUUUUUUAGUGUAAAAAAUGAAUAUGGAUUAGGUCAAAUUUCACAUUUUUUUGGGAAAAAAAAUGAAUAUGGUUUGAGUCAGAUUCUACGUUUUAGGAACAAAAAUAAAUAUGGAUUGAAUCAUUUGUUUAACUAUAAAUGAGAUUUAACCUUUUUGUUAAAAAAAAAAAAGAUCAUAUGUGGUCACUUGAUGGAUUAAGGAUAAAUUUUAUCGACUUAAUUUUGUAGGGGAUACAAAGUUAGCAUUUAAAAGUGAAGAACGAAAAAAUUCGUUUGGCGAAAUGUAAAAAACAAAUUAUAUUUUAAACGAUUUUUCCUUAAAAAUAAAAAUAAUCUGAAUUUGUAGUCCUUUCUUUUAUUUUUUUAUUUUUUGAAGAGAGAAUUUGAAAAUUUUCCGGUGGGCUUCUUUUCUAUCUCCUUAAAGUGUUUCAGUGUGAAUUUACCUUUUUCUUGAAGGGACAUAAUAUAGGAGGACCUAUCAAAAUUCACGUUUUCAGUGUAUGUAUGUCACAAUAAAUAAAACUAGCCAGCUGAAUAUUUCUCAAGACUUUUAUGCUUUUCAUUUCAAGGGACAAUUGAUUAUUGAUCUAGGAAACAAGAAAAUCAAAAAGUAAUUGAGGAAUAUGCGAUAUUUUUCUAUAUCGUUUAGGAGGAAAUGUUGGGGUAGUCAAUUAAAAACCCUGAAAGAUUGUUAUCGUUAGGGGAAAAAAAAAAUUAAAAACCCUGAAAGAAUAAAAAACAAAACGAAAAAGUAAAAUCCGACUGGAACGUUACGACGUCGGAUUAUUCAUACAUUUCAUUUCCGUUCUCCCGUUGAACCCUACUAAAACCCUCUUCUGUGUCCAAUUUCAAGAAAUAGCCCCAACAAGGGUUUAGAAGAAGGAAGUUAAAAAUGGCGAGCCGUCUCGUUCAUUUCCGACCGACGGCGAGACUUCGGUGGCUGUCUACAGCAACAGAAACGGCAACGGCAACGGCAACGACAGCGACAACGGCUGUGACCCAAGAUACAGCAACGGCUGUGACCAAAGACAAGCCUAAUAUCUCUCUGUUCAGGAAACUGAAGGAGCUGAAUAUUGGACCAGGCUCAGACGCUAAUGUUUCAGUGGUUCUAGAUGAAUGGGCCAAUGAAAGUCAGGCUAAACGAUUCGAUGUUGCUAGACAAAUCAAUUUUCUCCGAUUCCGCAAACAUUACCAUCUAGCCCUCCAGGUAAUUUCUUGAAUUUGGUUAUUUUCUUCUUUCUUCUUCUUUUUUUUUUUUUGUAAAAAUUGUUUCUUUAGGCAUUCCUAGAUUUGUGGAUGAAUGAAUAUGCGACACGUGAGAUUUAUGCUUUAGAUGGUUUAUUGUGCUUGUGGAGUGUAUUUAUUCAAAUCAAGUUGCUGUAUUCUUAUUGGGUGCUAAAUUGUUGUCAUGUGGUGAAAUUUUCUUUGUAAUUGAUAUUAGUAUGCAUUCUAAUCUUUUGUUUCGAUUUGAAUAAAAAAAACUUUGAUUGUUUUAUUCCUUUUCGAAUGCUUAUUAUUCUUAGACAGAUAGCGAAUGUGAUUGUGGAAAAGAGCAUUACUUUAUCAUAGGAAGAAAAGUCAUUUGUUGGGUAUGCAAGAAGUGAUUGUUUAUUUGGGUAAUAUGGUCGGGUUGGAAACAGCAUAGAUGUGCUGUUUGUUAGCAUUGACAACUAUUUGUAAAACAGGGGAGGCAUAGAAUUUGGGUAGCAGAUGAUAUGUUUAUUGAACAUUAGAUGCUCAGUUUUUGUAGGAAGCUUUUUACCCUUAUGGAAACAAAAUCUGGGAUGUAUUCUUUUAAUAUGCUUGUUGAAAAUAGGUAAAGGAUCAAGCGUGGGUUGUAUAGGAAAUUGUACCUGUAUACCAACAAUGGGGAUUGAUGAGGAAGGAACAAGUUGAAUUGUAGAUUAAAUUGUAGUUAUCUAUCAACUUCAGGAAAUAUAUAGACUUUGCAUGGACAUCUGUUGAAUUAAUAAUAUCUUUUCCUUCCUUAGAUGGCAUUUUAUUUGCUUCUGUUUGUUCUCAAACUGGAUAGUUUGGUUUGGACUUUGUAAUUGUUUUCCUUAUCUUGUUACUAAUGCAGCUAUCAGAAUGGCUGGAGAGCAGCAAGAUUGAGAUGAACAAUGCUGACCGAGCUGUGCAGAUUGACCUUCUUGCAAAAGCUAAGGGUAUUGCUUCAGCUGAAGUUUAUUUUGAUGGUCUUCAGGGAUCUGCAAAAACAAACAAAACUUAUGGAGCACUUCUUAACUGUUACUGUAAGGAGAAAAUGUUGGAUAAGGCUGUCCAACUCUUUGCCAAGAUGAAGGAGCUGAAUUUUACUUCCACUCUGAACUAUAACAAUGUGAUGUCUUUAUACUUGAGCAGUAACCAGCCCGAACAAGUCCCUCUGCUUGUGCAAGAAUUGGAGCAGAAUAAACUUAAAGCAGAUAAAUAUACUUGCAAUCUGUUGAUUAACAGCUAUGCUUCCUCAAAUGAUAUAAACGCAGCGGAGAAAGUUCUUGAAAAGAUGAAGAAAGAUAAGGUAAAGUAUGAUUGGUUCACUUAUGGGAACCUAGCAACUAUUUACGUCAAUGCUGGACUUCUUCCCAAGGCCAAAGAAAUGAUAGGAGAGAUGGAGAAAUUUGAAAAUGUGCGUGAUCGUGAGUUUUUCCAUAUGCUAAUCAACUUGUAUGAGCUUAUGUCUGACUUGGCUGGGGUUCAUCAUGUGUGGAACUCCCUCAAGUCAGUUUUCCCCUCCCCCAGUAACACUAGCUAUCUCAUCAUGCUGUUGGCUCUGUUUAAAUUGGGUGACCUGGAAAACCUGGAGAAGUAUUUUAGAGAGUGGGAAUCUCAAUGCUCAUUGUACGAUGUCAGACUAUUCAAUGUGGUCUUGGAAUCUUAUCUUAAUAGGAACAUGAUUGGGGAAGCUAAUGCUCUCUAUGAAAGUAUGGUGACCAAAGGAAUUGAUCCCACCUUAGCGACACUGAAUAUUUUCACAAUCUACCACAUUAAGAAUGAUCAGAUUGAUUCGGCUCUGAAGUAUCUGGAGAUGGGUGCAUGCAAGACAAUCCCAGAGGAACAUAGGUGGUUUCCUACAGAUGAGACUAUCAAAUUGUUUUUAGAAUAUUUUGAGAAGAAAAAUGAUGCGACUAGAGCUGAGAAGUUUUGUAACAGCAUGAAGAAGAUUGGUCGUCUUGAUUCUACCGUUUAUGCAUCUCUGCUUUCCAAAAGUUGAUGACUAGAUCACUGCAUCGAAGUAUAGAGGUGUUUCUGAUUUAAAUAUGGCAGUGAGAAGAGGCCUUGACAAUUUGAUAUUUUAUACUGGCCUAAUUCAAGUCUUGCAAGGAAUUCGAGUUUAUGUUCACAAAUGCUAUUGUGCGAAGCAAAGCUGGCCUGUACUGAAACCUAAACUAUGGUGGUGAAAAUCAAUUUUGCCAUUAAUUCAUUAUGUCGUCACAAGAUGGUCACACACUCUAGUCAUUGUGGCUUUUUGACCUUCUCCUAGACAUGCCUCAAUUGUAUCCUAUCAUUCCUUAGCCUCUAGACCAACCACUUGAUAAUAGGGUUAUAAAAUGGGUACUAAGUGAAUUUGGGAUCAAAUUUAAGUUACACUAAAUUCAACCCACUUAAAGGUAGGAUUGAUCAGUGUACACAUACACACUCUAUUACAUGCAUGUAACACACAUAACAAAAAUAAAAUAGAAUAAGAGGUAGGUUGCUUUUUUCCUUGGAUGACUAUAUAUGAAUCUAAUCUUCAUUAACUGUAUAUAAUGCAUUUUCUUUGUCCAACUAGAAAAAAAUUGCUUACUUGUAAUUUUAGUAGAUGAAGAUAUUCAAACUAAUUUCAGGACUGAAUGAAUUUUCCACAUAUUGCAUUCCGUGUAUUUUACUAUAUGUUAACAUGAAUGAUAUAGAAUUUGAAUAUGGGUCAACUUGAAUAUCAGUCAUAAGUCCAAUUUCUUCAUAAACCAAGAAUUGAGUUUGAAUUCAAGAAUAUGAUUUGUUAUGUGAGUCGAGCUCAAGCAUAUCAAAACUCAAACUUAUAAAAUCCAAUUGACAGACCUAUUUCACUUGAACAGAUAAAAUGCUCAAAUAAGAUCAGUGGAAUUCAUUAACUUGAUUGACAACAGUUCAUGAAGGACCCUUUUAUGUCCAUUUGACUGUAUUACUUUUGUCAAAAGCCAACUAUUGAGCUUAGCAAGUAUUUCGCCCCAAGUACCUGUUUUAUACCCUGAUAAGGAUUUCGCACGAAAAUUACCCUCAAUGUGCACGAUCAGGAUGUCCUCCUAAGUCCCAGGGCUUAUCCGAUUUCAUAACCAGUGUCCAAAGCUAUUUAGGUCGGUUCUUGAACUUGUCUUAAUUGAUCUGUUUAAUUGAAAUGCUUGAAACUCCAAAACUUUGGUAUAUCUAUCUCUUUGAGUAUAUGGAAUUCUUACAAUCUUCUAUUCAUCUGUUUGGCUGAGAUAACCAAAUCCAAGAGCCAAGAAACUACUAUGCCUAUUUGAAUGCUUUAUGUUAAUGCUUGAAGAGGAAAUGCACUUAUAUUUUCUAAUACAAUGAUUCCAUAAAUAUGGUUUACCCAAUGUAGUAGAUGGUAUUUCUUUUUUAUUGGCAAAACUUUGGUUUUUAGCACAAAGGAAAUUGGAGGCUUUGACAGGGAGGGCUGUAAACCACAUAAAAUGUACCAGUUGGUUGCUCUAGGGUAAGACAUGAAUCUGAAAAGUUGGAGUUCAAGUUCACCAUGGUAAGGAAGCCAGAUCAAACAAGUCCCGUGCCUGAGUCACCUACUGAAGCAAGUAAAUCAUCAACAGUGGAAGAGAAGGCAUGGAACUAUAUAUAGCUGGUAUGCCUACGCCGCCAGAGGAGAUGAAGCUCAUUUCUUCUGGGAAUGCAAGGACUAAGAAGAAACCACAGCAGUGCAUUAACAAUUCAGUGUAUGGUGGUUGCAGCAGCGGCAGCUACAAGAGGGAAUCCUCGCAUCCCAAGCUCAAGGCAAAUGGCUGAAGCCAUAACCUGGAGAUGCUUUUGGAUAAACCUGCUACUGGUAAUCAAAGCAUACCAUCCUUUUGGAUACACACGUGAGACGGAUCAAGCUUUCAGCUGGAAGCUACAACAGUAUUGUAACAAUCACCUCGAAAGGAAAGUCUGGAAUUGUUUCCUGUUUCUUGGACUGGAAUCUAAAUAGUUCGCUUGGGUUUUUCAGAUUGUGAGGUGUUAUGAAAAUAGAGAAUUUUUGAACCUAUAGUUAUACCUAAAAAGUUGCUGCUACUAUACACAAAAAAAGAAGAUACAAAACCCAUCCAAUUUUGAUACUUUGGAACUUUUAUCGAUUGUGAACAAAAUGGCUGACCAGAAACGUCCUGUUUUUCCUAUAGAAAUCAUCACUCCGUUAUUGAUCCAGCUACCUCCUAAGGUCUUGAUGAAGCUCAUGCAUCUUUCAAGAUCACAGAAGAACUUGAUCGGAGACCCUAGUUCUCUGCGGCACAAUUUGAAAUAUUCUCAGCAAAAGGUAAUGGAUAUCUCUUGUAUUUGACUACGGAGUUAUAACCCGGGGACUUUCAAGUUGAUUGACGAUAGAUCAUUCCGAUAUUUGUUUAGAUUUAAGAAUGCCAUUUUUUUUGGUCCACUCCUCUUUUUCCUUCCUCACUUCUUUAAUCUCACCUGUUUUCUAUCUUGACAAGGACUUCGCCCGAAAGUUACCCACAAUCUGCACGAUCUUAUUUACUUUCUGUCCUUCUUCCUUCUUCUUAACCAGUGUCUAAAAAUAUUUAACUUAGUUCAUGAACUUGUUUAAAUUAACAUGUUUAAGUUAAAUCCUUGAAAUUCCUUCCAUGCAAGUUGAAAAGACAAUCGCUUUAACUUAAUUGAAACCUCAAUUGCAGACUUUUUCAAGUCAAAAAAAUGGAUGAUCUUAUAUUUCCUAAGAGGUAAUUAGUGAAACUAAAGCAGUCUCUUUCCGUAAUAUACAGCUGAUUCUUGAAAGAACCUAGUAAUUACUCCUAUACUAGGAAAGAAAUGGUAUUGGCAAUGUCUAAUCAUAUUGAGAAUUUCAAAUGAUCUGUCAUGUCAAUGGAAAGAAAUAUUUGCUUCAUCAAUCAUGCUGCAUUUCAUAAAUAAAAAACAAAAGGAGCAUUUGCCAAACAAAUUUAAACUUUAGAUUGGGAUAUCUUCGUCUUCUAAUUCUUUAGUUGUCCAAAUUGCUUCAUGAACUUCAAAAUUGUCCUUAAACUUUAGAUUGGGAUAUCUUAUUCCUAAAAUGCAAAAGCUUCUGCCAUUUUAGCCCUUCUCAUAAGAUAAUCAUUACAUUAAAAACUUACUUAAACAAGUAAACUAUGAUUGAAAAUAAUAGAAAUGCUAUUCUCUUUAUCGUGAAAGGACCUUAUGCUACAAGUAAAAUACAACGUGAUAAAGUCAUGACAAUAGAUAGGGAAGCUUCAAUGAGUACCAAAAUGUUGCCUAAUCUUGUGAUCCUGUGAUCUCUUGGCCUAAAAUUUAAUAUCCGUGUUACUAUAACAAGUUACAUAUUUAGUUAACGGUCAUAGUAAAAGCAAAUAAUCUUCAAUCAGUCAAAUGAGUGCCAUCGUGAAUUAAUAGACAUACAUCAACUUAUCUAGGGAUUUUUUUGGGAACAGCAUCAUUUACACAUCUAAAAAAUAAGCACCCAUAUUCUUUAGGGUAUGAUCUCAACUGUAUAUGGUUUUCGAAGUCACAUGGUCAAGCCUGACAAGGUCACAACCAAAUUCCAUCUUACCUGCGGAUUGAGAUAUAAAUUGGGAUUUUGAAUCUUGAAUCUUCUUCAAAUAAUCUGUCGUGAAUUAGAUUGAAAGACAUAUUCAUUUUCUUAAAAGAAAAAAGCAGUAAACUGAACUUAUAACCUGUCAUGGGUCUAUCACAUCACAGGGAAGGAAUGUUGCAACACCAAACAGUGAAAAUGUCUCCAAUGAAACAUCAUAAUAAAAAAUCCCUUCAACUCUACAAAAAUUUUGACACAAACUUUCAAAUAUAGAAGUACUGUGGCACUUUCUUGAAACCUUUCUAUGUUUUGCACAAACUCAAUAGCCAUGCCAAGAAACAUCAUGAUUUGCACGCACCAUGUUUCAAGUUUGAGAUCGCUCCUAUCCUGGAACCCAAACUCAGCAACUGAUUGAAUUCCUCUUAAGUAGCCAUCUUGUCUUGUCAGGGGAUCCCUUGUAGAUCCAUCAUCUUUCAAUGUCACCAAACCAUCAAGCAUGACCUGCGCAGAGGCAUACAGAGUUGUGAACGGAUGAACAGUCAAGUAAUAACUAUACGAUUUGAGCUCCUCAAAUCGAGAGUAACGUUCUCUUUGCGAUCCCUUGACGUAUAUAUAUACAAGAUGAAACCGAAUCUUCUGAAUCUAAAUACAUUGAAUUUUGGUCUACAAUGCUUGGGGAAUGACCAAAUUCUCCACACUUAAGAUGAAAACGAGAAUUGGACGAGAAGUUUAGGAGGAAUUAAGUAACUAGAGAAUAGUAAAGCUGGUCUGCAACAUAAAACACGGAUUUUGCCACAUCCUCUGAUAUUGCAUCAGACUUGAACUUUGCAUCUUUCGUUGUCUUUAUGGCCCCAAUCAAUUAAAUGGAUGCAAAUCAUGCAACGAUGUGGAGGCCAGUGUAUAGUGUAUAAUCCGUUAUAAUCUUACAUGUAUGCAUAAACGGGUGUAUAGCAUGAAUCUUUCACACCUAAACACCUGUUUAUGCACACUGGUGUGAUUAAUUAGCCUUCUCAAGUGGGAAAACUAAUUAACAUAAUACAUAGGGCUCUGAAAUCCUUGCCAACUUAGAGUAGGAGUACGCCUAGAGUGCUAGUGAUGCUUAAAUGCAAUUAGAUGACGGGUUUUAUUUAAUCAGAUUUUUAAACGAUUGCAGUUAUUCUUGGUGCUUUAUGCAUAAAUGGAGAAACCUCAUUCAUUGCUUUUGGAUAUCUUAUCACUCAUAGAAAAGUAUACAUGAUAGAGUAGAAAAACAAAAUUCUCUGCUUAGCGAUGAUUUGAUUUAUUAAACCAAUUGAACAUGUAUACUGGGGUCAAUUUCGAAAGAUUUUGCACUUCGCACUUGUAAACGAUAUUAGAUUCUCAAAUAAUCACACAAAUUAAGACGUUUGAUACUUGGCAUGCUACUAGUCAGCUAGUUAUAGGCUAGAAUAUGACGGUUUAUCAUAUUUUCAUUUUGCCACUUAAAAUGAUCAAAGCGAUUGUGAUGAUGAUGAGCGUUGAGGGAAGUGAAAGUGAAAGUGACAUUAAUUAUCAUUUUGAUUCAAAGCUGUGUCCUUCCAAGCUUGAGAUAUAUAACGAUCUAAGGGGUAGGAAGCAUUUUCUUUUCUGCGGAAAGAAGGGUGGAAGUGACUGAAACAGGAGCAAUAUAAAGAUUGGGACAUCCAGGGAAUGCAGCACAGGAGAAGGGAAUUAAAGGGAGUGGUGACUGAGAAUCUUGUUGAUCCUCCUGAUACAUGCAUGUUCUUGCCUCAAUCUUGAUGAUCAUCCUGAUAUAUGCAUGCUCUUACCUCAGAAUCCUCUAGCUCUGAAGAGGGUAAUGAUGAUUCUGAUGAUAACUACGACAAUAACUAGGAAGAACCAGGGAGCUCUGUUAUCACUUUUAUGGGCCCAUAAAUAUCAAACAACAAAAAUAAUUUAUCAAGCAAGAAAGCACAAAACGAAAAAUGGAGUCUAUCAAAAUGCAGCGGCUACAACUUACUAAAGAAAUGGAGACAGUGCCUUUAGUCACUAUUUCGACAUUUUGAUGAAUGGCUGACUGUGUAUUUCUUAAUUGAAGAAUUACGUAGGUAUACAACUUUCUGUAUAUUCUUUUUUCUUUACAAGUCUUAAAAAUAUAUUGUUCUAUGUCUUUUUCCAAAAUAAAUUGUAAUUUUCUUUUCAAUUUGUCAUUUUAUGGGGAUAAAAAGUUCCAAAUUCAUAAUGGUCUCUUUUUUCUUUUUCUUUUUUUAUAAGCCCUAACGGCCUUGUUUUGAUUUGGUUCAGAAUUUGGGAACCUACUAUCUUUUUAUAGUUAAAAAAGAGUAUAAAACUAAGUCACUUUAUGAGCCUUGACAGUAGAUAUUAACAUUUGUUGAAAAAAACAUAUGAGUCUUGAUAGUAUUAUGCUUCUUUUAAAUAAAAAAAAAGGGAAAAACAAUGGCACAAAGUUGGGCACACUUUUGUUCUUAGUUUUACACAAAUGAAUUAUUAGAUUUUUAAACUUAUGUUGUAAAAAAAAUGUAAUGAGAAAAAUAGAGAUGAAGCUGAAACGCAAAUAGUCAAACUCUCAUUCCACAUUUGUUGAUCUAUUUGAAAUGGUCUUUUUUAUCAUUUGCAAAAUUCUUUUCUUACCAGAAGUUUCCCAAACCUAAAGACACCACCUCUUAAAUACUAAAAUUCAUUAAUUAUAGUAACGUUAUUCACAUUAACGAGUGCCCAUUGAACAUCCGUUAGCCGGACCAAUUAACAAAUAUGUGAAAUGAGGCUUUCAUAGAUUUAAUGACAAUAGUCAGGAGCCAAAAAAAAUUUUAAUAGCGAUAAAGAUGAGAAGCUAUCCGAGGCUUUAAUGAAUUUACAGACACUAGUCAGCAACCAGAAUCUUAUCCCCUUUUCUCGACUGUACUUCUCGGAUGAGUAGCUCACCCUCAAGUAUUUUUAUCUCUCUUUUUCGAGAAGAAAAUAUUAAAAAGAUAGGUUUUCUUAAGCAAACAUUAAUCUUCUUUACAAACAGUGUAACCUAUGCUCCAACAAGUAUUGCAUGGUGGGAAAGGUUUUGGUCUGUAAUCUGCGGAUUAUCAUGAGGUGCACAGAUGUUGCACCUUGCCUGAGCUAUAAUGGUCUUAACAUGAUAAAUGUAUUCUUGAGCAUUUUAAUUAAUCUUUAUAAAUCUUAAUUUAAGAAUAUAGAGAUGCGAUGCGUAGUUGUCAAUUCUAAUUCUUGAACAAUUUUGUUAAGCCUGUUGUUACAUCAGUUUCCCUCAUUUUCUAAGACAUUUCCAUAUCAGAAACUGAAAAAAAAAAAAACUUGUUUUUUAGCUACCCAAAUAUAAACAUGUUUUUUUUAAUUAAUGAAUUCUGCGUAUUUAAUUCCUACUGUUGAGUGUUAUCCAAUACUGCUACUAAAUAUUCAUACAUCAACAUAUGCAUAUCUCUAAUUACAACUAGUAUUUUGAUAUAAUUAAGCAUAUAACUAUGAAGAAAAUUGAUUAUAUAUUUGUAAGGUCUGCUGCUUCUGUUGGCCGACUUGGUGGCCACGAGAACUCUCAUUUUCAUCCAAGUCUGGCGACGUACCCCAUUUUGCAUGGGGGCAAUCCGCCAUCUCCAUUGAUGGAAGUUGUUUUAGCCAGUAGAUCGAGGAGGACCAUAUUGGGCUCCUCGCCAGGAGCUGAACCUAGCUGGACCAGAGCCAUCGGUGUUCAAUCAGGGCAUAGACUGCACUACUUCUGCUGAUCAUGUGGAGCUUAACAUAGAGCAGCUGCCGCCUCUUUUUCCCUCUAUAUUACCUGGCGACUGCAAUGCAUUAAUACUUCAUCAUGAAACUUAAAAGGCAGCGAACCAGAAAAUUUUUCUUCAUCUUAAUUUCUCUACACUUUGAACCUAGUUCAUUUUAGUAUACAGAACUAUUGUUUAGUUGUAAUAUAUUUGGUUUCAAUUUCUCUCAACAAGAAAUUCUAGCCGAGAUUAAGGGCGGAGAGUAGAUGAAUUUAGUUCAAGAUCUGAAGUGAAUGCUCUCUUAGAAUUCAAGCUCCAAUAUUGAAAACUGAAUAUUCAAGAUUGUGUUGUCUAAACAUCUCACUUUCAUUCGUCAAAGUGAUGAAAUGUGCACUUCUAAGCAAUUUAGGGCACUUCUAAGCUCUAGAUGAUGAAAUGUGCAAAUCUCAACAAUUUAGGGCACUUCUAAGCUCUAGAUGAUGAAAUGUGCAACCUUCGUGAAAAAUAUAGAUUCAAUUUAAUUAUUCUAAAAGAAAAAGUAAAAAAAAAAAUCCAUGGCCUAGUUAUUUCCAAAACAGAAAUUAAAAAUUUUUACUUAGACUAUAGACUAGUGCAUUCACAAUGCACCCCAAAAUGGAUGUUUAACUAGCUAAUAUGGCAUGUAUUUCAAUAUAUGAUAUGUUAAGAAAGUAAAUACACCAUUAAAGUCCAUAUUUGCAUGUACAUUUUUAUAUGACAAUGUAAACAUUACACACUCAAGAGUCCACGAAUAUGUCUAGCUGAAUACAUCCCAUCCCAGAAGGUCCUUCUCUGAAACCUUGAGAGCUGAUAGUAGUAGUAUCAGUACCUAAAAAUUCCAGCCACCCCAGAAGCCGAAAUUGUAAUUUCCUCGUGUUAAAUUUAUUGACUUGAUUUGGACUUGCUUGGUUUAGAUUAUGAAAGUCUAGACUGAACUGUUGUCCAAUUGGGCUAUAAAUAUUGUAAUCAAUGUCUUUUUGGAUUUCACUAAAUUCCUUUUUGCACUAUCUAUGACAUCAAAUUCAACUUCUACAAAAGAAGAACUUGCGAAUAAUGGUUUUUAGGUUUGUAAUCCUGGGAUUAUGAGGUGCACACAUGUUGCACCAUGCCUGGCGCUAUACUGGUAUAGCAUUGAGUUUUCACUUUGACACAAGGUAAUAUGUGCAUUAAUCUUCUUACCAUCUCUAUCUGUCGAAAGGAUCAUCUAACCUGGAUUACUGCUUUUAGAUGAACUCUUAAUUUUGCAUUAUGAAUAUCGUGUUAAGAAUCUAGGCCAAAGUUCAAUUUCUGAUUAACUCUUUUUUGGUAGCUAAUUAAUGUCAUCUAAGAAAACAUCAUUAUAUUUAUAGAGUGAUUUUGCCAUUAGACAAAUAUUUGGAAAAAUAAAAAUUUAAGAUGAGACUACUCUAUCAAGGGUUUACUCGUCGUUUUAAUCUAUAGGUCUAAUAUUUUGUUCUACUAAGGUUUGCCUGCUAUCUAGGCCAAGGUUUGAUUGAAAUGAAUUCUGGGCAAUAGCUCAUUUAUGGAAAAUAAUAUGAUAUCAGCAAUCCUUCUUAUAUGUAGAGAGUGUUUUUCUUUUUCCCAUUAACCAAAUAUCUGUCAAAUUUCUUUAACUGGAGACUAGUCUAUCAAGGACGGACUUAUCGUUUAAAACAAUAGGAUCAACUUGCACCAACUGUGAAAUCCACCAUACCUAACCAGCUUAAAAAUUAUUCAAACCUUAUAAAUUUUAACAGAUUUCAGUAUCAAUUAUACGUUGCUUAACGUAUCGUUAUACCUAGGAAUUGGGCAGGUUGGACGGGUUGAUAUUGGAUUUUCACUUAAAUGGGCUACACUCAACCCGUCCAACUUUAAAUUGGGUUGAUUUUGGGUUGAAUUAUAUUGGAUCAUCUCAAACUCAUGAUCUAACAUAUUAAUUAAUACAUUUUGAUAUAUAAACUUUUUUACAUACAUUUUAACACGUAAAAAGAUUUUUUUUCCACACAUAAACAUAUUUUCACAUACAUAAAUGUAUUUUCACACACACACACACACUUCUUAAGCUUCUUAGAAAUACGUCAUAAAUAGAAUAAUAUUUUAUAUUCCUUGUAUUAUGAAUUUUAGAUAAUAAAUUGUACAUUGAAAUAGAUUAGCUAAAAAAUUUUGUUUACUUUAUACUUUUUAAUACGACUAAUUGAUUGAAAUUAUUUUUUAUCACUAUUAACACUUUUACUACUCAUAUAUGCUUUAUUGUAAGUUAUAAUAUUCUAUAUAUUUAAAUAAUUGAAUGCUAGAUUAUAUAAUGCUUGAAAAUAUAAUUAAAAGACAUAUCAUAUGUUGUAUUAUAAUAUUGGUGAGGAAUUAUUAACAAUGAAAUAAAACAAAUUAGAGAAAGUAAAAGAAUGCAAUUAGAAUAGGUUUAACUCUAUUCCACGUACACGAAAUAUUAACAAACAGAAAUAUUAACAAACAGAAGCAGAACCACCAGGUAAUUGAUUACAUAAUACAAGAGCAAAAGAGAUACAAAACUAGUCCCAAUUUCAUACUUUAAAACUUGAGUGAAGUGUCAAGCCUUCAUUAUACACAGGAAUAAUGCAAUCUUUAAGUGCCUAAGAAACUAGCUUAAUAGAAGUGCAUGAAGUAUUACAACUAUAUGAUCCCAUGAAGCUAGUAACAAGGCUGUUAGGCCAAUCACUUCCUCGAACGAAAACAACACAGGCCAUUGCGUACUCCGAUGUCCCGUUGCCGCCUUCUUGCACGCACGGGAUUGCUUACUCUGAUGUCCCUUUGCCUUUUUCCACACUCGCACGGGUUAUGGCUGUCAGGCUUUGCAAGUUCUUGCCUCGCCUAAGCUUUUCAAAAGUAACCCAUCUAACGAGGCAAGGGACCCGAUAAAAUAAAAGCCAUUAGCUGAAUCCCCAACUCUUAAAAAGGCAGAAAUUGUGCGCAUGAAUGGAGCCCCAUCCACCCACAAAUCCACCAAAAGAAACAAGCGGAAGAGCAACAGAUGAUGUGAUUUCCCAGAUCACAAAACAUUAAGACAUAAUAUAUUGUGAUUUACUAUAGGAAGACCUGGAGAAGAACCAUAUUUAAUAAUGACCAAUACCAUCACAUAAGAUCAGCUUUCCCUCCUCCUCUUGCCCGGGCUUGGGACCGGCUGUCUGUGGAGACAGGCGGAGUUACAAAGCAUCCUACCAAACAAAACAGCACAAGCAUACAGACAGGGGGAAUCUCCAAUAGAGAACAAUAGAGGACAGAUGCAUCUCCAAUAAAACCAAAAAAAACAAAAAAAAUCCAACUCAUACGCAGCAGUGUCCAAAAAAGCAACAGGCAGAGGGAAUCUUCAAGUUAUCCCCACCAAAAGGCAAGCUACAAACGUCUCACAAAUAGCAAAAUAAACUUGCAACAAUCUGCACCAGAGUACAAGAGAACUCUACGAAUAGCACACCAAACAUAUUACCAAAAUUACCACACUUACUUUGUUUACUUGUUUUUAUACCAAGGCUCACCUUCUGCAUACUUAACCUAUAAAUCAACUAAAUUUUCAUCAAGUUAGGGGGCUCAACCACUGUGUGAAACAAAUGUGAUGCUACAGUUAAUUUUCUAUAGCAUUCAAGGUACCAAAAAGAAUUAGGAAAGGUCUAAAGAAAAGCUCCGGUGAAGAGAAUCGGAUAUCAAAACAGAUUUACAUACAAAAAAAUAAAAAUAAAAAUUUUGAAAAUUUUGAAAAAAAUUAUGAUGCUAAAGGCUGAUAAAAGAUCAAAUAUUAUAUAGUGCAAGUAUCCAACAAAUAGACCCUACUUAUGGGACUUAAAAAGUCACACAAAUCACAGGGGCUUAAGCUACACAGGUAAAUCAUACAGAAAAUGACAAGUUGCCCUAGAAAACAGGAACUCUUUCAUUUCUUAAAUCCACCGAAAUCAACCUCAAAAGUAGUACGCACUUCAAAUAAAUUAAUGAUUUUCAAGACUUGUACACAAGGGCAUUUGGAUUCCUCUCAAUCUGUCAAUCAUUUAUGAUUGGUUCUAUGAACACAAUACACCUGUGCCAGGGCCUGUUAAGAUGCAACCACCUUCCCGAAACCACAACGCAUACAACUAUUGCAGAUCUUAGAUUGGACCUCUUGAUGCCACACCAUAACUGUUAAAAGGCCACAAGCAAAUAUUGUCCAAUAAACCCAAGGAUAACAAAAUUCAAUUACAUGCACUUUAAAGUUGCAUACUAAACCUAUGUACCAGAGGAUCACAAAAUUCAAGUAUGAAAUGAAAUUCACAAACAAUACCAGUACCAGUGGUAUGUAAGUUGAUGAUUACGAAGACAGAUAUUGCACGCAUCUGUUCUUACACGACUGCACAAUACCAGAACUGGUACCAGUUGUAUGCAAGUCAACGACUGUGAAAACAGAUAUUGCAUGCAUCUGUUCUAACAUGACUGAACCAGCAUCCGCUUAUGAAGUGAGAAUAACCACGACACAGUUUUCUUCCACUCAAUUGCAGAUAACGAAGGCCAGCAGCGAGUACUCAAUGGUGAUGGAGAACAGUUAAAGUUGCUGCAUAAUAACGGACAAACCAGUUCAAACAUACAAAAAGCCCAAGAAAGGAUAGGAGGCAAGAAAUACACCCCCAACUUGACCAUGACCAUGAACUUGAUAAUCCAUACUGAGUUACAUCUUAGGCCGCACCCCAUAGUAUAUCAGAAGUUUCUUUCCACAUUCAAACAUCAAAGUCAUCAAAUCAAAUUCCAUGUAGACUAGAAAGCGCUUCAUCUUUUCCAUCCAUCACUUAAAAGGAGAAACAGAAACAGAAAUCCCAAUUUCUGGACAUUGAACUCAAGAACUGGUUGAGGUAAAGAUCUUAAAUUCACUGGAAUAAGCAUGCUCGCUACAGAAUAUACAAUACUCUGCUAAAUACAACCAUAACUCCAGAUAACGCUCAUACUGUCAAAGCAGAAUCUGCAAACUUCAUAGUAUAUUAACACCACCAUCAUGAAUAAACCUGGACAAACAAAAUGACACUACGGUUAAGCUCAGACAUAUCCAUUACACAUGAUCAGGAUAAGAAACCUCUGCAUCUGUUUUGAUUUCAUGUUGAUUGGUAGUAUGCAACUAGGAUGACUGUGCACAAGCUAGGUAGAAUGGGUUAGUAAUGCAGAAAUUCAGGCUUGAAAACACAGAUCUGACUUCAACUCCCAGCCCUUCCUGAAAUUGAAUGCCGUAAUUUAAUUUUAAAAACUACGUAGUGCUGUACAAAGAAAACCACACGCCGAUGAGAGAAGAAACUCCUUUGGAAUCAUGCAGACCACAAUACCAGGUAACAAAAUGACCAGAGAUUCUUAAAUUCAAGCUCCCUCCCUCAAAUGGUAAGAGUAGGUAAGAAGACAAACGCCCUCCAAAACAAUGUACUAGCCUUUGAUCUGAGGAUAGAGACCUUAAAGUUUUCACACCUCCAAAUCACUGGAAUCCUAGACUCAACACAAUAAUAUACCAAAUUAAGAACAAGUAGAGAAAAUCAUUUUUCAAGAAAAUGAACCCAAAAAAAAAUUAAAAAAGAGUAGGGAAAGAAAGAGCAAAUCCAAAAUCUUAUCACAACCGAGAAGCAGGAUGAUACUCCCAGUUCAAGCUUCCCUAAAAUCAAGACAACAGAUAAAAGUUCACCAAAUAUCCCCAGUGAAUUUUUCAAGGAAAGAGAGCAAAGAAAGACCAUGUUGCCAAGAAAAGCCCCCAAUUUAAUUCACAUCUAUCCAAAAGGAAGCUCUUCUUGCCUCCACACACCAGAAGUCCACUAUUCUUGAAAGACGACAUCAAAAGAACCAGAGAGGAAACACAGAUCUUGAAACAUCACCAUGAUCGAAACAAACAGCAAUCAACUGCCUACAGCAAUGCAACAGUGAUACAGAAGCAAAACUCCAGAUAAUGGAUCACGUUCACAGCCAUCCAAUCAGUCUUAAGAAUCAUCACAUCCAAAAGCCCAUAUUCAGUCACCACCCUCAGUAGAAUUCUGCAAGUGUGUGAAAACAUAAACAACCAACAGAGACUGAACUUGGCACAAAGCUGAAAUAAAAAUUGUAGAUCAUCUACCAUAUUAUCAAAACCAAACCAAUAUAUGUAGCAUUUAUUCUUCAGACCAUGAUGAAUCAGCGACACAAAAACCCUGCCUAUACAAACAUGUUAGAUAAAAGAAUUUAAUUCCCGUUAGAUACCAAGCACCGCAGAGCCAUCACCCAAAGAGAGGUCCUGGACUAAGCUAAUCCAUCAAGAGCCAGGAAAAGAACAACUGGGUAUGAUAACUUUAGGUGAAUUGACUGGGCAGAUUAAAAGUGAUUCAUACAGUCCAGAACUAAACAAAGUUGAGAAUUAGCAGAGAUAUACGCUUGAUUAUGCCCCCGUCUAUUUCUCAUGAAUCAGGAAAGUCAACUCUGCAGAAAUUACUGCCAGACCAAAUAACGGACAGAAUAAGAAAAUCAGAAAUAUUACAAAUAAGAUGUCAAAACCCCUAAUUCCUCAUGCACAAACGAUACAGACAGAGCAAAUCUACCAUCCAGAGAUCUCUCAUUGAUUUGAAGGAAACAACAGAGAACAAGUAGGGGAGCAGCUUUCUCCGAAAUCUUGUAGACCAGAAUAGCAGGGUAACAAACAUGACAAGAAUGUUUUGAUCCAAGCUAUCCUAAAAUGAAGACAACAGCGAGAUGCCAUUACCAACAAACACCAGUGAUUUUUAGGCAAAAGGAACAAACAAGAAAACUCCUGGUCUACCACGUCAAUCCAUAGCUCUUUUUGCCUCCAUAUGUAGAACUCCACCAUUCUA
This 19979-nucleotide long non-coding RNA is filed under the name Coffea arabica (coffee). RNAcentral's name for it is "long non-coding RNA (CARA_LNC002008)". The record is from RNAcentral. Lineage: Eukaryota; Viridiplantae; Streptophyta; Magnoliopsida; Gentianales; Rubiaceae.